CCUACGGGAGGCUGCAGUGAGGAAUAUUGGUCAAUGGACGAGAGUCUGAACCAGCCAAGUAGCGUGAAGGAUGACUGUCCUAUGGGUUGUAAACUUCUUUUAUCAAGGAAUAAAACGAGGCACGUGUGCCUUUUUGCAUGUACUUUAUGAAUAAGGAUCGGCUAACUCCGUGCCAGCAGCCGCGGUAAUACGGAGGAUACGAGCGUUAUCCGGAUUUAUUGGGUUUAAAGGGAGCGUAGAUGGGUUGUUAAGUCAGUUGUGAAAGUUUGCGGCUCAACCGUAAAAUUGCAAUUGAUACUGGCAGUCUUGAGUACAGUUGAGGUAUGCGGAAUGCGUGGUGUAGCGGUGAAAUGCGUAGAUAUCACGAAGAACCCCGAUUGCGAAGGCAGCUUACGAAACUGUAACUGACAUUGAUGCACGAAAGUGUGGGUAUCGAACAGGAUUAGAUACCCCGGUAGUC
Molecule: ribosomal RNA, 460 nt
Filed under: uncultured bacterium
Lineage: Bacteria
Description: partial 16S ribosomal RNA
Rfam family: Bacterial small subunit ribosomal RNA
Source: RNAcentral